RNAcentral lists this ribosomal RNA (616 nucleotides) under uncultured bacterium. Its description in RNAcentral is "bacterial SSU rRNA". It matches the Rfam family "Bacterial small subunit ribosomal RNA", at positions 71 to 699 of the family's 1533-position model. The record is from RNAcentral.
UCAAUUGGGUAACCUUGAGAUCGUAUAGUGGCGAAAGGGUGCGGAAUAGAUAGAUAACGUACUUUGGGCUUUGGAAUAGCGUUCCGAAAGGAACGGUAAUACCAGAUAAUAUCAGCAAUUUAAUGUUGUUGAUCAAAGAUUUAUCGGCCUGAAAGCGGUCUAUCGCCUAUCAGCUAGUUGGUGAGGUAAUGGCUCACCAAGGCGACGACGGGUAGCGGGACUGAGAGGUUGACCCGCCACAUCGGGACUGAGACACUGCCCGGACCUCCACGGAGGGCUGCAGUAACGAAUAUUGGGCAAUGGGCGAAAGCCUGACCCAGCGAUGCCGCGUAUAGGAUGAAGUUCUUCGGAAUGUAAACUAUUGUCAGGGGCUAGAAAGCCGUAAGGUUGAUCAGCCCCGGAGGAAGUCACGACUAACUUCGUGCCAGCAGUCGCGGUAAUACGAAGGUGACAAGCGUUAUUCGAAAUCACUGGGCUUAAAGGGUGCGUAGGCGGAAACAUAAGUGUCUUGUGAAAACCCCCGGCUUAACCGGGGAAUUGCUCGGCAUACUGUGUUUCUUGAGGCAAGCAGGGGUGUGUGGAACUCUUGGUGGAGCGGUGGAAUGCGUAGAUAUCA